CGCCCCCACCGGCCGGGCAGGUGUCCGCGGGGGCCGGCGGCCGAGACCUGGGCUGGACGCGCGCCGUGCGGGGCCGCCCCUCCACCUGCGCUGCCUCUUCCUCCGCCCGGGCCGCACUUCCGGCCACUCCCGCCCGGCCCGGCCCGGCCGCCCCGGGCCCGGCCGGCCCGGUACUGGGACGUGGGGCGGGAUGGAGUCGGGGGGACGGCCAGGAGAGUAGUUUUGCGAAAAGGGGAAAGUGAAAGUCCGCCGAACUAGGGAGGCGCGACGGAUCCGUUCUCCGGCCAGUCUGGACCCCGGGCGCACUGCGGCAGGCCUCCACAAGAUGGACAACCAACAAUCUUCAGCUUUAUUGCUCUCUGGCCCCCUUCCCAGAUAAGCGAGACCCUGAAGCCAGAAGAAGCCUUGAGAGAACAGAGUGGGCUCACCCCCAGCUGUACAUCCCCUCCCUUGCCUGGGCCUGCCUGCAGACACAGGAUGCCCAAGAGUUUGGAAGCACUCAGCCUUGGACAGGAAGCUCACCCCAGCCAGCAGGUCACCUAUUGCACAACCUGGAGCCUGUCACGUCCCCUCUGGGAUGGUCCGGGAAGGUGAAGCUCAACCAGCCAUUUGCCCUGCAGCCACUCCAAACUGCGGGGGCUGUGGCUGCACACCCGUACCAUUGCUCUGCUCCAGAGGCUGCUUCUGCUGGGGCUCCAGGCACUUCCCCCAGCAGGCAAAAUGCCUCUUUCCCCCAGUGGGGCCAUAGGAGCCUGCAGCACUCCUGCAUUCUAGCUGCAACUGUCAGGAAAUUAUCUGCUCCCUCAACUCUAAACUCCUGGAGGGCAGUAACUUCCCGCUUACCUGGGCGGGGAGAGGAGGGUGUGAGCGGAUCUUAAGCAAAUUUUUCUAGUUUCCAGUGAACCUUUGUGUGAACCCUUUUGGAUACUUGGGUCAUCCUCAGUCUAGCAGUGGUGAAUCCUUUUGGAUACUUGGGUCGCCCUGAAUCUAACAGCUGGAGGGGAGGAGGGGGAGGGGGAAGAGGAAGAAGAAGAAUUGGCAAAGACUCCAUAGGUGCCAGGAAGGAAGGGAGUGCUUGGUUCUGCAGGCAGCCCCAGGCAGCCCGCACCCUGGGGUGUUCACGGGAAGCCAGAGCUGAAAUUCAGGGAGGCUGGGCUUUCCCCUGCUUGCCCAGGGGGAGUUCUGUGCUGUUCCCUGAGUCAGGAUUGCUGCCCAAACCUGGAACAGAGGGGGCAGGGGAGGUUUUUCAAAAUGAACAACUCCCUAGUCCCCCCCCCCCACACACACACACACCAGUCUCCAAAGAUACUGCCUCAGUGAGAGGAGGCCCAAUGUCCAUAGUUCACAAACCCCGUAGAGACUGACUCUAUUAUGAAGCCAGAAAUGACAGAUUCGUUUCUUCGGUUGUGGUUUCGGUUUUGGUUUCUGGUUUGGGGGUCACACUCGAUGGUGCUUGCUCUCGGCCCUGGCGGGCUUGGGGGAUCGAAUCCAAACUGGCCAUGUGCAAGGCAAGUGCCCUGCCUUCAGUACUAAGGCUCCAGCCUCCCCACCAUUUGGUUAUUUUAAAGUAGUGGUUCUUAAAAAAAAGUAGCGGUUCUUGAAUGAGUGCCCCCCAUUUGGUUAUCAUGGCCGCUCACAAAAGGCCAUUGUAUUUAUAGUGCCCAGAAGCCCCCUCCCCCCCCACGGUCACAAAUUAUCAGGCCCCCCAAAUGCCAAGAAGUACCUAGGUUGAGACUGAUUUUAGAGCCACAAAUCUGAUAUUCCAGGGUGAGUAGAUAACCUCCAUCCCACCCUGCUUGGAGCCUUCCCUCCUGGUGGCAGCCCAUGUGAUCUUUUUCAAUACCAGCAGCUCAUCUAGUGUUAGGAUUGCCUGAAACCCUUGGCUACUCAUUCCUUUUAGAAUAAAACCUUAAUCCUUAAUCUAGCAUAAUCUGCCUUUCCACUUUAGAUCUGAUUUACUGCUACAGCAGUAAGACUUUCAUUUCUCCUUCCCCUCCCAAUUACUGUUUCUUGGGCCAACCCCCAGGGCUGGCCCUGUGCAUCAAGUCACAUGAAAAUGAACAAUCCUUCCUCCUGCCCCAGGGUCUUAACACAGGCUAUUCUGUCUAAAUGGGCCUUCCUUGGGCCCAAGUAACUUCUAAAUCUCCUCAGAACCUAGUUCAUGGGUAACUUCCUCAGGAAGUAUUAAGCCAUUCUUUUUCUUUUUCUUUUUUUUCUUGGUUUGUUUUUGGACCACACCCGGUGGUGCUCAAGGCUUAGGCCUGCCUCUUAGCUCAGAGAUCACUCUGGGCAGGCUCAAGGGACUAUAUGGGGUGCCAGGAGUAAGAGCCUGAAUGGGCCACAUGCAAGGCUAUCGCCCUAACUGCUAUUUCAUCACUCAGCCUGCAGGAAGCCAUUCCUAAUUCUCCUCCCCCAACACAUACCUGCCAAUCACAGGCACUGUCUCGCAGACUGUUUAUUUUCUUCAGAGUAAUCAUUUCAGAGGCCAGGGAGAUAACUCAGUGGGCUGAGCACACGAAGAUGUGGUUCUGUCCUCCACACCACAGUUAUGCCCCCAACGCUGAGCUCAGAGCUGCUGACCACUGCUGGGUACUGACCAAAGACCAAAAAAAAAAAAAAAAGUAAUUAUUUCAGUUCAUGGGUAUUUAUUCCUAUGAAUUUAUAUUUGACAGUAAAAUUGUCUCAUUUGUGGCAUAGACUUCUAUGAAUAGACUCGUGUAACUGUCACCACAGCCAGGAAACAGAACAAUUCCCUCACCCCCACAAGCUCCUACCUGCUGUCCUUUGUAGUUGUACCCUCACCCGUAUUUGGCAACCAAGAUCUGCUUCCUCUACUGCCUGUAGUGUGAUUUUUGUCUUUUUUCCAGAAUGCCAUAUAAAAGUUGUCUAUGAUUUCACAUAGCAUAAUAAUGUCUUGGCUAUUUUCACUCAUGUAAACUGUGCAACAAUCAUCUAUUUCCUUUUAAAGAACAAUAUUUCUGUGAAUGUGCCACCAUUUUUUGGUAUAUACCUUCUGGAUGAAUUGGUCUUCCUUGGGCCCAAGUACAUUUUAAAUUAUUCUCUGUAGAUCCAUUCACCUGUUGAAGAAUUUGUGAUUAUUUUCAGAGUCUGGCAUUGUG
This is a long non-coding RNA of Sorex araneus (European shrew), 3119 nucleotides long. RefSeq lists it as uncharacterized. Lineage: Eukaryota; Metazoa; Chordata; Mammalia; Eulipotyphla; Soricidae. The record is from RefSeq and is a predicted model, not a curated record. The transcript has 3 exons.